Molecule: ribosomal RNA, 346 nt
Filed under: uncultured Lactobacillus sp.
Lineage: Bacteria; Bacillati; Bacillota; Bacilli; Lactobacillales; Lactobacillaceae
Description: bacterial SSU rRNA
Rfam family: Bacterial small subunit ribosomal RNA
Source: RNAcentral
AGCAGUAGGGAAUCUUCCACAAUGGACGAAAGUCUGAUGGAGCAACGCCGCGUGAGUGAAGAAGGGUUUCGGCUCGUAAAACUCUGUUGUUAAAGAAGAACAUAUCUGAGAGUAACUGUUCAGGUAUUGACGGUAUUUAACCAGAAAGCCACGGCUAACUACGUGCCAGCAGCCGCGGUAAUACGUAGGUGGCAAGCGUUGUCCGGAUUUAUUGGGCGUAAAGCGAGCGCAGGCGGUUUUUUAAGUCUGAUGUGAAAGCCUUCGGCUCAACCGAAGAAGUGCAUCGGAAACUGGGAAACUUGAGUGCAGAAGAGGACAGUGGAACUCCAUGUGUAGCGGUGGAAUA